UUUUUGGAGAGUUUGAUCCUGGCUCAGGACGAACGCUGGCGGCGUGCCUAAUACAUGCAAGUCGAGCGAAUGAUUGG
This 77-nucleotide ribosomal RNA is filed under the name Peribacillus huizhouensis. RNAcentral's name for it is "partial 16S ribosomal RNA". It matches the Rfam family "Bacterial small subunit ribosomal RNA", at positions 1 to 77 of the family's 1533-position model. Lineage: Bacteria; Bacillati; Bacillota; Bacilli; Caryophanales; Bacillaceae. The record is from RNAcentral.